GAUGAAGAACGCAGCGAAAUGCGAUACGUAAUGUGAAUUGCAAAUUCAGUGAAUCAUCGAGUCUUUGAGCGCACAUUGCGCCCCCUGGUAUUCCGGGGGGCAUGCCUGUCCGAGCGUCAUUGCUGCCCUCAAGCACGGCUUGUGUGUUGGGCCCCGUCCUCCGAUCCCGGGGGACGGGCCCGAAAGGCAGCGGCGGCACCGCGUCCGGUCCUCGAGCGUAUGGGGCUUUGUCACCCGCUCUGUAGGCCCGGCCGGCGCUUGCCGAUCAACCCAAAUUUUUUAUCCAGGUUGACCUCGGAUCAGGUAGGGAUACCCGCUGAACUUAAGCAUAUCAAUAAGCGGAGGA
RNAcentral lists this unclassified non-coding RNA (346 nucleotides) under soil metagenome. RNAcentral's name for it is "partial contains 5.8S ribosomal RNA, internal transcribed spacer 2, and large subunit ribosomal RNA". The stretch from base 1 to 119 matches the Rfam family "5.8S ribosomal RNA", at positions 35 to 154 of the family's 154-position model. The record is from RNAcentral.